This 207-nucleotide long non-coding RNA is filed under the name Lathyrus oleraceus (garden pea). RNAcentral's name for it is "Pisum sativum (pea) long non-coding RNA (PSAT_LNC014583)". The record is from RNAcentral. Lineage: Eukaryota; Viridiplantae; Streptophyta; Magnoliopsida; Fabales; Fabaceae.
UUUGUUAUUUGAAUGGAUAAACCCAUUUCCUACGUACCAUCACAAAGGUAGGAUCAAAACCUCGUAGUUCGGGGUAAAAAUCUCAAAAGGUUGGUGAAUUUAUUUGGUCAAAAGCCUUAAGGUCUUUUGUUAUCAAAGGGAGAAAACUCAACCUAAACCAACAAUCCACCAUGUGAGGAGGGCUUCAACAUACUAGUGAGGGGGUAA